RNAcentral lists this ribosomal RNA (495 nucleotides) under uncultured bacterium. RNAcentral describes it as "partial 16S ribosomal RNA". It matches the Rfam family "Bacterial small subunit ribosomal RNA", at positions 28 to 507 of the family's 1533-position model. The record is from RNAcentral.
GACGAACGCUGGCGGCGUGCCUAAUACAUGCAAGUAGAACGCUGAAGGAGGAGCUUGCUCUUCUGGAUGAGUUGCGAACGGGUGAGUAACGCGUAGGUAACCUGCCUGGUAGCGGGGGAUAACUAUUGGAAACGAUAGCUAAUACCGCAUAAGAGUAGAUGUUGCAUGACAUUUGCUUAAAAGGUGCAAUUGCAUCACUACCAGAUGGACCUGCGUUGUAUUAGCUAGUUGGUGGGGUAACGGCUCACCAAGGCGACGAUACAUAGCCGACCUGAGAGGGUGAUCGGCCACACUGGGACUGAGACACGGCCCAGACUCCUACGGGAGGCAGCAGUAGGGAAUCUUCGGCAAUGGACGGAAGUCUGACCGAGCAACGCCGCGGGAGUGAAGAAGGUUUUCGGAUCGUAAAGCUCUGUUGUAAGAGAAGAACGAGUGUGAGAGUGGAAAGUUCACACUGUGACGGUAUCUUACCAGAAAGGGACGGCUAACUACGUG